CGGAAGUAGCUCAGUUGGUAGAGCGUCAGCCUUCCAAGCUGAAUGUCGCCGGUUCGAACCCGGUCUUCCGCUCUAU
RNAcentral lists this transfer RNA (76 nucleotides) under Psychroflexus gondwanensis ACAM 44. RNAcentral's name for it is "tRNA-Gly". It matches the Rfam family "tRNA". Rfam says of the family: Transfer RNA (tRNA) molecules are approximately 80 nucleotides in length. The record is from RNAcentral. Lineage: Bacteria; Pseudomonadati; Bacteroidota; Flavobacteriia; Flavobacteriales; Flavobacteriaceae.